This 532-nucleotide ribosomal RNA is filed under the name Fusarium sp. RNAcentral's name for it is "partial large subunit ribosomal RNA". It matches the Rfam family "Eukaryotic large subunit ribosomal RNA", at positions 96 to 651 of the family's 3401-position model. The record is from RNAcentral. Lineage: Eukaryota; Fungi; Ascomycota; Sordariomycetes; Hypocreales; Nectriaceae.
AAGCGGCAACAGCUCAAAUUUGAAAUCUGGCUCUCGGGCCCGAGUUGUAAUUUGUAGAGGAUGCUUUUGAUGCGGUGCCUUCCGAGUUCCCUGGAACGGGACGCCAUAGAGGGUGAGAGCCCCGUCUGGUUGGAUGCCAAAUCUCUGUAAAGCUCCUUCAACGAGUCGAGUAGUUUGGGAAUGCUGCUCUAAAUGGGAGGUAUAUGUCUUCUAAAGCUAAAUACCGGCCAGAGACCGAUAGCGCACAAGUAGAGUGAUCGAAAGAUGAAAAGCACUUUGAAAAGAGAGUUAAAAAGUACGUGAAAUUGUUGAAAGGGAAGCGUUUAUGACCAGACUUGGGCUUGGUUAAUCAUCUGGGGUUCUCCCCAGUGCACUUUUCCAGUCCAGGCCAGCAUCAGUUUUCCCCGGGGGAUAAAGGCGUCGGGAAUGUGGCUCUCUUCGGAGAGUGUUAUAGCCCGUCGUGUAAUACCCUGGGGGGGACUGAGGUUCGCGCAUCUGCAAGGAUGCUGGCGUAAUGGUCAUCAACGACCCG